This 921-nucleotide unclassified non-coding RNA is filed under the name Bradyrhizobium sp. Its description in RNAcentral is "partial contains 16S ribosomal RNA, 16S-23S ribosomal RNA intergenic spacer, and 23S ribosomal RNA". The stretch from base 1 to 90 matches the Rfam family "Bacterial small subunit ribosomal RNA", at positions 1444 to 1533 of the family's 1533-position model. The record is from RNAcentral. Lineage: Bacteria; Pseudomonadati; Pseudomonadota; Alphaproteobacteria; Hyphomicrobiales; Nitrobacteraceae.
GGGAGGCAGCCGGCCACGGUAGGGUCAGCGACUGGGGUGAAGUCGUAACAAGGUAGCCGUAGGGGAACCUGCGGCUGGAUCACCUCCUUUCUAAGGAUGGUUCUUCAGAAGCUUGCUUCUAUCGAACCGUUUUAGAAACAUCAGUGGCCAACGAUCGUCAGGAUUGUUGAGCUGCAUUGGCGGGAUUUCGCCGUCUUCGUUUCUCUUUCUUCGCGGACGAACACGCGCUGGGGCUGCAAGCUUGCAGAAUCCCUGGUCCUUGACUGGAUAUGCGUUAGGGGCUUGUAGCUCAGUUGGUUAGAGCGCGCGCUUGAUAAGCGUGAGGUCGGAAGUUCAAGUCUUCCCAGGCCCACCACACUCAUCGAGUGAGCAUUCGUCUUCUGGUUACGGGGCCAUAGCUCAGCUGGGAGAGCGCGUGCUUUGCAAGCAUGAGGUCGUCGGUUCGAUCCCGUCUGGCUCCACCAGAUGGUUUGAUCAUCGACUGAUCGUGCACCUAAAUCGUCCGCGAAACAUCACUUCGCACUUACUAGUCCGGAUGGACAGUAAGCUGCGUGAUUUCUGACAUCGUAAAGAGGAGAUCGAUCCGAGUUGGAUCGGGCAACAAGCAAUUGUUGCGCGAUACUUCAUUAUCUCCGGAUCAUUUCGGCGCUCGUGCGCCUUUCAAUGUAGCUCACAAGGCUGCGUCUGAGAGGAAUGCGAGUUGUAAAUGAUCCUUUUAGCGAAGCUUGACCGCCUCGCUAUCGGAACGAUCUUACGAAGCAAGCUGGUCUUUCUAAUCAUUGUCCGGCUGCAGAUAGCGUUCAUCGAGGGCGCGUGCCGCAAGGUAAUUCUGCAGACAACAUUCUGCCGAGUGUGUGGACAUUGAUAAUGAGAGCAAUCAAGUGCCUUAAGGGUGUUCGGUGGAUGCCUUGGCGCUGAGAG